Molecule: transfer RNA, 68 nt
Filed under: Scyris indica (Indian threadfish)
Lineage: Eukaryota; Metazoa; Chordata; Actinopteri; Carangiformes; Carangidae
Description: tRNA-Phe
Source: RNAcentral
GCCAACGUAGCUCAAAUAAAGCGUAACACCGAAGAUGUUAAGAUGGGCCCUAGAAAGCCCCGCAGGCA